RNAcentral lists this ribosomal RNA (460 nucleotides) under uncultured bacterium. RNAcentral's name for it is "partial 16S ribosomal RNA". It matches the Rfam family "Bacterial small subunit ribosomal RNA", at positions 338 to 795 of the family's 1533-position model. The record is from RNAcentral.
CCUACGGGUGGCAGCAGUGAGGAAUAUUGGUCAAUGGACGAGAGCCUGAACCAGCCAAGUAGCGUGAAGGAUGACUGACCUAUGGGUGGUAAACUUCUUUUAUAAAGGAAUAAAACGAGGCACGUGUGCCUUUUUGCAUGUACUUUAUGAAUACGGCUCGGCUAACUCCGUGCCAGCAGCCGCGGUAAUACGGAGGUUCCGAGCGUUAUCCGGAUUUAUUGGGUUUAAAGGGAGCGUAGAUGGGUUGUUAAGUCAGUAGUGAAAUUUUGCGGCUCAACCGUAAAAUUGCAAUUGAUACUGGCAGUCUUGAGUGCAGUUGAGGUAGGCGGAAUUCGUGGUGUAGCGGUGAAAUGCUUAGAUAUCACGAAGAACCCCGAUUGCGAAGGCAGCUUACUAAACUGUGACUGACAUUGAUGCUCGAAAGUGUGGGUAGCAAACAGGAUUAGAUACCCUUGUAGUC